CCUACGGGAGGCAGCAGUGGGGAAUAUUGGACAAUGGGGGCAACCCUGAUCCAGCCAUGCCGCGUGUGUGAAGAAGGCCCUCGGGUUGUAAAGCACUUUCAGUGAGGAAGAACGCCUGGUGGUUAAUACCCAUCAGGAAAGACAUCACUCACAGAAGAAGCACCGGCUAACUCCGUGCCAGCAGCCGCGGUAAUACGGAGGGUGCGAGCGUUAAUCGGAAUUACUGGGCGUAAAGCGCGCGUAGGUGGCUUGAUAAGCCGGUUGUGAAAGCCCCGGGCUCAACCUGUGAACGGCAUCCGGAACUGUCAAGCUAGAGUGCAGGAGAGGAAGGUAGAAUUCCCGGUGUAGCGGUGAAAUGCGUAGAGAUCGGGAGGAAUACCAGUGGCGAAGGCGGCCUUCUGGACUGACACUGACACUGAGGUGCGAAAGCGUGGGUAGCAAACAGGAUUAGAUACCCUUGUAGUC
This 465-nucleotide ribosomal RNA is filed under the name Vreelandella stevensii. Its description in RNAcentral is "partial 16S ribosomal RNA". It matches the Rfam family "Bacterial small subunit ribosomal RNA", at positions 338 to 795 of the family's 1533-position model. Lineage: Bacteria; Pseudomonadati; Pseudomonadota; Gammaproteobacteria; Oceanospirillales; Halomonadaceae. The record is from RNAcentral.